GGGAAGUUGGCCUGACAGUUCCAGCCCUCCUCCUCGGUGGGAAAGACUUUUUCCAAAGGCCUGGAAACGUGUGAAGGCUGCAAUCUGACUCCUUUGGCUUCCACUUCCCGGCAGAAAAAGAACCGCCGGUGCCAACAUUUCAACCCUCCCGGGGAGGCUGGAAAUAUUUAGGACUCCGUCCAAGGAUCAAUAAAAGAAAGAACAGGCCAGGAUUGUUGGGCUCCUUCAAACAAUAAAUUCCCGGCCCUGGGGAUUCAGCGACGGUGAGGAAGGCCGGUCCAGAAGGCCGAUGUCGCCAUGAUUCUUGGGGCAUCGCAGUCAUGCUGGAGAAUUCAGGCCCCGAUGCCUUAGAAAGCCCAUUGCUGCAGAAGGGAAGAGACAGGAUGUUCAGUUAAUGCUGGAGACACCCUGGGAACGAGGAGGAGAAGAGAGGCUUUCCCCAAAACCUUUGAGGUAUGGGGCCUGAACGGGUCUAGAGAUUAGAAUCCAGAAUUGCAUAAUUCACCACCGGACCUCCUCCAGCGAGGAGAUCUGCACCCACGGAGAAAUUGACAGGAGUUGGAGCAUCUCUCCCAGAGGCAAUGGAGAGGUAACCCACAGGAGAAAGAAGGCUCCUGGAAUAUGCUGCGUGGCUGCCAAACAUCAACAUGUGCGACCAUAAAACGCAGCCCCGGGAAGCGGAAUGCGAUAAUCUCGGACCUGAAAUUGUGAGCCAUGGGAGGUGAGAGAUGGAAGAGAGAGAGCUCUUUCCAGGGUGAAAAGAAGCACCAUUCAUCAAUUCCAAGACCAGCAGGGACCCCGUGAUCAUCCAGUCUAAUCUCCUGCGUAACACUGGCCAGAGAACUUCCUCAGAACAAUCCCUGUUUGAAUCAGUGCCGAUCUUUCCCAAAACUGUCCAAUCUUGAUUUAAAAACGGCUAGUGAUGGAGAAUCUGCCACAGCCCUUGGGCCUUUGCCAUGAUCACCUCUCUACCAGAUCACUAACCCCUGUCUGGCGCUGAUCUCUCCAUCUCCUUCACCACGCCAUCCGGCCUGCCCCCACCCCCACCGUCGUCAUCUUUGCAGCCCUAUGCCAACACAUCACGAAGCAACCUCU
Molecule: long non-coding RNA, 1095 nt
Organism: Trachemys scripta elegans
Lineage: Eukaryota; Metazoa; Chordata; Testudines; Emydidae
Exons: 5
Source: RefSeq, a predicted model, not a curated record